RNAcentral lists this ribosomal RNA (480 nucleotides) under uncultured bacterium. Its description in RNAcentral is "partial 16S ribosomal RNA". It matches the Rfam family "Bacterial small subunit ribosomal RNA", at positions 27 to 507 of the family's 1533-position model. The record is from RNAcentral.
GGACGAACGCUGGCGGCGCGCUUAACACAUGCAAGUCGAGCGAUGAAAUUUCGACAGAUCCCUUCGGGGUGAAGAUGAAAUGGAUUAGCGGCGGACGGGUGAGUAACACGUGAGUAACCUGCCUUUGACAUUGGGAUAGCCUCGGGAAACUGGGAUUAAUACCAAAUGACACUAACUGAUCACAUGAUCAAUUAGUCAAAGAAAUUCGGUCAAAGAUGGACUCGCGGCUGAUUAGCUAGUUGGUGAGGUAACGGCCCACCAAGGCGACGAUCAGUAGCCGGCCUGAGAGGGUGAUCGGCCACAUUGGAACUGAGACACGGUCCAAACUCCUACGGGAGGCAGCAGUGGGGAAUAUUGCACAAUGGGGGAAACCCUGAUGCAGCGACGCCGCGUGAGCGAAGAAGGCCUUCGGGUCGUAAAGCUCUUUUAUGAGGGAAGAUAAUGACGGUACCUCAAGAAAAAGCCCCGGCUAACUACGUG